GACAGCAGCCGCCACGGGAAUACGUAGGGUGCAAGCGUUAAUCGGAAUUACUGGGCGUAAAGCGUGCGCAGGCGGUUCGUUAAGUCAGAUGUGAAAUCCCCGGGCUCAACCUGGGAACUGCAUUUGAGACUGUAUGGCUAGAGUGUGUCAGAGGGGGGUAGAAUUCCACGUGUAGCAGUGAAAUGCGUAGAUAUGUGGAGGAAUACCGAUGGCGAAGGCAGCCCCCUGGGAUAACACUGACGCUCACGCACGAAAGCGUGGGGAGCAAACAGGAUUAGAUACCCGUGUAGUCCCUGUCUCUUAUAC
Molecule: ribosomal RNA, 306 nt
Filed under: uncultured bacterium
Lineage: Bacteria
Description: partial 16S ribosomal RNA
Rfam family: Bacterial small subunit ribosomal RNA
Source: RNAcentral